Molecule: long non-coding RNA, 1597 nt
Organism: Balaenoptera acutorostrata (minke whale)
Lineage: Eukaryota; Metazoa; Chordata; Mammalia; Artiodactyla; Balaenopteridae
Exons: 3
Source: RefSeq, a predicted model, not a curated record
CAGAGCCUCUGGGGUUCACCACAUAUGAUAUUCAGAAGUAGUGGCAAGUCCAAUCUCCUAUUUUGAUCCUCACUUCUUAUUAUGUCUCGGAAAAUACCCCUGCUGUUUAAGGAGGCUGGGCACCAACUACUGAAAGACGAGAGAUUUUCUAGGUCGAUGAUCAUAGGCAAGAGGGAACACCCAGACUGCAGGCAUGUGAGUGAGGUCACCUUAGAACCGCUGCCUCAAUCAAGCCACCAGAGGACUGCUCUGUGUAAGCCCAGAAAGAGUCAGUUGAAGCAGAAUGAGACUGCUCUUGGAGGAUUUGCCUAGUAGUUUUGAUGAGGAGUCAGAGAAAUCUUCCUGAGAAGUUGACAAGUUCUCAACAUCAAAAGAGAUAAAUACCGUUUCAACAUCUGGAAACUUACAGAUUCAAGCCUUAUAACACCUUCCUCUAGUUUAACCAAUUGCUGAGUGAAUUAACAAAGUACAUAUUAAGGUCAUAGAAAAUCUUUAAAAGUGUGUGUAGGAAUGAAUAUAUUUAAUACCACCGGACUGUACACUUCAAAUGGUUAAGAUGGUCAAUUUCAUGUGAUGCACAAUUUACUACAAUAAAAACAUGGGAGGUAAAAGUGUGUGUAGGAAUGAGGGCAGAAUAUGAGAGGGGUUACUCUUAUUAUACACCCAAGAAAAAAGGUUUUUUUCUUGUAUUUUUGUUUUUCUUGUUUUCUCCUGUUUAAGAAAUUUAAAUUUAAAGGCUUCAAAAGACUAAGAGUAUUUAUUAUGAACUUUUUGAUUUGCACAAUAUCACAUGGGAAGGGUGGAGAGGGUCAGAGUACAAACUGAUAAUUCUAUACAUGGGUGAAUUCUAAAACACCUGCCUAGAAUAUCACGGGACUAAGACUUUUACCACAGAGUAGAACAAUGAAGUUAAUUUACCUAAUGGCAUUAUGCCAACCUGGCUCAACUAGUUUUUUUGAAUGCCCAAAUGCUCCCUUUUAGGUGUUUUCAUUUGUUGUACAGCUAUUACAUGAAAUUAUGUAAGAUUCCUUGAAAGCAUAUCUGGUGCUUUAGUGACCUCCCAUCAGUGAUUUUUAAAGUAUGUAUGCAUCCAAUACAAUUACAAAGGUCAGCUCCUUCAAUAAUAAGUUAAAAUAUAGAAAAAAUUAUAUUUUAAUGUAACUUUUUGCUUUUGUAUAUUAUACAGCUGUUGCUUAUAUAGGUUUUUGUGUAUAAUUCUCUAUUGUGUCUUUUUAAUUUGAUAUACCAUUGUAAUUUUUGAUGCUAUUUAUAAAAGCUUCAUAAUUAUCACUCUGAACAGUUACAUAAGUUUUCUUUGUCGAUGCAUGGGAUUUGCGAAACUAUUCUCUUAUAGCUGGAUAUUUGGGUGGUUUCCAAUUUUUGGCUGCUAUUUUAAAAUGCUAUAAUAAAUAUAUUCUUUUAUAUUUUUUAUCUUUUAAAGUUCUUUUGUAUCAUUUCCAGAGAACAAAUUCUGUUAAUCAAAAUAUUUGUCUAUGUUUUACAUAUUGCAAAACUGUCUUCCAAAAUGAUCACAGCAGUUAUAUUCUGCCACAAAAUAUUAGAGUUGUUAACUGUUUUCAUUAUUUUGUUGACUUUA